CUGGGUGUGGCGCAGUUGGUAGCGCGCGCGGUUCGGGACUGCGAGGUCGUCGGUUCAAAUCCGAUCACCCAGACCA
RNAcentral lists this transfer RNA (76 nucleotides) under Candidatus Saccharimonadota bacterium. Its description in RNAcentral is "tRNA-Pro". It matches the Rfam family "tRNA". Rfam says of the family: Transfer RNA (tRNA) molecules are approximately 80 nucleotides in length. Lineage: Bacteria; Candidatus Saccharimonadota. The record is from RNAcentral.